UCCUUAUUCCCAAUUAAUCUAGUCGUCCUCUUUUCAUCCUCAUCACUAUUAACAUUGUCACUCAAGGAAAAUAUAGCAGAUUUUUGGUGUUUGCUUACAUUAUUCGACUCUUCACUACCCUUUUUCCUUUUCAACAAAUAGCUACAGUUACUUGUAUUAGCAUUGAGUUUCUGUUCUACAACUCCACCUUUUACUGAAUUACUUCCUAACUUCGGAGAAGAAUGUACCAAUUUGUUAGAAUUUGACAGAUUAUUCAACCAUUUUGAGAGAUUGGAACCACAAAU
Molecule: long non-coding RNA, 284 nt
Filed under: Solanum tuberosum (potato)
Lineage: Eukaryota; Viridiplantae; Streptophyta; Magnoliopsida; Solanales; Solanaceae
Description: long non-coding RNA (STUB_LNC004907)
Source: RNAcentral